This 468-nucleotide ribosomal RNA is filed under the name uncultured bacterium. RNAcentral describes it as "partial 16S ribosomal RNA". It matches the Rfam family "Bacterial small subunit ribosomal RNA", at positions 28 to 507 of the family's 1533-position model. The record is from RNAcentral.
GACGAACGCUGGCGGCGUGCUUAACACAUGCCAGUCGAACGGAAAGGCCCUGCUUUUGUGGGGUGCUCGAGUGGCGAACGGGUGAGUAACACGUGAGUAACCUGCCCUUGACUUUGGGAUAACUUCAGGAAACUGGGGCUAAUACCGGAUAGGAGCUCCUGCUGCAUGGUGGGGGUUGGAAAGUUUCGGCGGUUGGGGAUGGACUCGCGGCUUAUCAGCUUGUUGGUGGGGUAGUGGCUUACCAAGGCUUUGCCGGGUAGCCGGCCUGAGAGGGUGACCGGCCACAUUGGGACUGAGAUACGGCCCAGACUCCUACGGGAGGCAGCAGUGGGGAAUAUUGCACAAUGGGCGGAAGCCUGAUGCAGCAACGCCGCGUGCGGGAUGACGGCCUUCGGGUUGUAAACCGCUUUCGCCUGUGACGAAGCGUGAGUGACGGUAAUGGGUAAAGAAGCACCGGCUAACUACGUG